RNAcentral lists this ribosomal RNA (253 nucleotides) under uncultured bacterium. Its description in RNAcentral is "partial 16S ribosomal RNA". It matches the Rfam family "Bacterial small subunit ribosomal RNA", at positions 524 to 776 of the family's 1533-position model. The record is from RNAcentral.
UACGAAGGGGGCUAGCGUUGUUCGGAUUUACUGGGCGUAAAGCGCAUGUAGGCGGGUCGUUAAGUUGGGGGUGAAAUCCCGAGGCUCAACCUCGGAACUGCCUUCAAAACUGGCGACCUGGAGCGUGAUAGAGGCGAGUGGAAUUCCGAGUGUAGAGGUGAAAUUCGUAGAUAUUCGGAGGAACACCAGUAGCGAAGGCGACUCGCUGGAUCAUUGCUGACGCUGAGAUGCGAAAGCGUGGGGAGCAAACAGG